AUUGAACGCUGGCGGCAUGCCUAACACAUGCAAGUCGAACGGCAGCGCGGGGGCAACCCUGGCGGCGAGUGGCGGACGGGUGAGGAAUGCAUAGGAAUCUGCCCGGUUGUGGGGGAUAACGUAGGGAAACUUACGCUAAUACCGCAUACGACCUUCGGGUGAAAGUGGGGGACCUUCGGGCCUCACGCGAUCGGAUGAGCCUAUGCCCGAUUAGCUAGUUGGCGGGGUAAGAGCCCACCAAGGCGACGAUCGGUAGCUGGUCUGAGAGGAUGAUCAGCCACACUGGGACUGAGACACGGCCCAGACUCCUACGGGAGGCAGCAGUGGGGAAUAUUGGACAAAGGGCGCAAGCCUGAUCCAGCAAUGCCGCGUGUGUGAAGAAGGCCUUCGGGUUGUAAAGCACUUUUGUUCGGGAAGAAAUCCGUGUGGUUAAUACCCGUACGGGAUGACGGUACCGAAAGAAUAAGCACCGGCUAACUUCGUG
RNAcentral lists this ribosomal RNA (484 nucleotides) under uncultured bacterium. Its description in RNAcentral is "partial 16S ribosomal RNA". It matches the Rfam family "Bacterial small subunit ribosomal RNA", at positions 29 to 507 of the family's 1533-position model. The record is from RNAcentral.